AAAGGAGGUUUUUACUGGCGAACGGGUGAGUAACACGUAAGUAACCUGCCUUUAAGACGAGGAUAACAACCGGAAGGUUACUAAGACUGGAUAGGAAACAAAAAGGCAUCUUUUUGUUUUUAAAAGACCUUCUUACGAAGGUAUGCUUAAAGAGGGGCUUGCGCCACAUUAGUUAGUUGGUAGAGUAAAAGCCUACCAAGACGAUGAUGUGUAGCUGGACUGAGAGGUUGAACAGCCACAUUGGGACUGAGACACGGCCCAAACUCCUACGGGAGGCAGCAGUAGGGAAUUUUCGGCAAUGGAGGAAACUCUGACCGAGCAACGCCGCGUGAACGAUGAAGUAUUUCGGUAUGUAAAGUUCUUUUAUUGAAGAAGAAAAAGUAGUGGAAAAACUAUAUUGACGUUAUUCAAUGAAUAAGCCCCGGCUAACUAUGUGCCAGCAGCCGCGGUAAGACAUAGGGGGCGAGCGUUAUCCGGAAUUAUUGGGCGUAAAGGGUGCGUAGGCUGUUAGAUAAGUCUAUAAUYUAAUUUCAGUGCUUAACGCUGUCUUGUUAUAGAAACUGUCUUGACUAGAGUGAGAUAGAGGCAAGCGGAAUUCCAUGUGUAGCGGUAAAAUGUGUAAAUAUAUGGAGGAACACCAGAAGCGUAGGCGGCUUGCUGGGUCUUUACUGACGCUGAGGCACGAAAGCGUGGGUAGCAAMCAGGAUUAGAUACCCUGGUAGUCCACGCCGUAAACGAUGAGUACUAAGUGUCGGGGUAAAACUCGGUACUGAAGUUAACACAUUAAGUACUCCGCCUGAGUAGUACGUACGCAAGUAUGAAACUUAAAGGAAUUGACGGGACUCCGCACAAGCGGUGGAUCAUGUUGUUUAAUUCGAAGAUACACGAAAAAUCUUACCAGGUCUUGACAUACUCUGCAAAGCUAUAGAAAUAUAGUGGAGGUUAUCAGGGAUACAGGUGGUGCAUGGUUGUCGUCAGUUCGUGUCGUGAGAUGUUAGGUUAAGUCCUAAAACGAACGCAACCCUUGUCGUUAAUUGCCAGCACAUAAUGGUGGGGACUUUAACGAGACUGCCAAUUAAACAUUGGAGGAAGGUGAGGAUUACGUCAAAUCAUCAUGCCCCUUAUGAUCUGGGCUACAAACGUGAUACAAUGGCUGUGACAAAGAGUAGCUGAAACGCGAGUUUUUAGCCAAUCUCAAAAAAGCAGUCUCAGUUCGGAUUGAAGUCUGUAACUCGACUUCAUGAAGUUGGAAUCGCUAGUAAUCGCGAAUCAGCAUGUCGCGGUGAAUACGUUCUCGGGGUUUGUACACACCGCCCGUCAAACCACGAAAGUUAGCAAUGCCCGAAAGCACGUAGCUUAACUUCGCAAGAAGAGGUAA
RNAcentral lists this ribosomal RNA (1378 nucleotides) under Candidatus Phytoplasma trifolii. RNAcentral's name for it is "bacterial SSU rRNA". Lineage: Bacteria; Bacillati; Mycoplasmatota; Mollicutes; Acholeplasmatales; Acholeplasmataceae. The record is from RNAcentral.